UAUUCUUCCCUGUCUAAAAUAGCCUCUAACUCUGAUGACAGGGAAUUCUCAAGAUCGAAUAGAAAGGAAUUCAACGGAUCAUUUUCAAGUGAUAAUUGGACACCUUUAAUUCAGGAAAGAAUCCUAGCCUUAGAUUUAAAAACAUCCCCAAAGACUUCCUUAGCCCAACCCUGAAGAUCCCCUGCUAAAUGAGACAACUUUCUAGGCAACUCACCAUUGAGAUUAGCCCACUUAUCUUGAAACCAACCUCUAAAGGAGGGUUCCAAACACCUGUUGACAUAUGUUUGACCAUCAGUUACCAUGUAAGCUGAAUUUCCCUUUCCAGAACUGACUGAGAAAAACAUCCAUGUCACUCACAAUGCUUCUAGGCCAUCCAUGUAGCUUAAAAACAUUAGAUAUGCUUGUGCAACUUGUAUUGCCGUGAAUGGAUUUGAUAAGGGUAUAAAAUGACUCUACUUACUCAACCUCCCUACCACCGCAAAGAUCACAUCACUGCUUCCUGAUUUAGGAAGUUUAGUAAUGAAAUCCAUACUGAUAUCAUUCCACACAGCUUUUGGAAUGGGUAGGGGUUUGGAGCAACCCAAGCUUGGCUGCAGAAUUAUACUUAGAAGCUUGACAAAUGUGACAUUUCCCCACAAAUUGCCUGACUUCUUUGGUCAAUCCUUUCCAGUGAAACUAGCUUUUAACUCUUUUAAUGGUCAAUUACCUACCAGAAUCACAACUUUCAGGAGAAGAAUGUAACCAUGUAAUAACCUUGCUCCUUAAAUUGUGGCAAAUAAUGUCAUUCGAGUUGCCUUUGAGAGUCAGGCCUCUCCGUCGCAGUUUAUCGAUUGCCGUUUAGAGCAAUUCGAUAAACAGCAGACAGAUGUGAUCAUCACCUGUGCUCUUUGCUGCACCCGUCAGAAUGUCGAAGAUCGUCCGACAAUGAGCCAGGUUGUGCAAGUCCUGAAGGGAGAGUUGGCUGUUGAUGUGAUUGUUGGGCCUGAUGGACUAUGGCCUCCAGCUCAGAUUCCUAGUAACUUAAUGACAUUGGCAGAUUCUGACAGUUCAACAGAAGAGAUAGGCUAGUUAACUGGAUUGUGAAGAUACGUCUGCAAUGUUCCAUGCCGUUUCAAGACCAGUUUCAGAGAGGGUACUCAAGUCGAAUAAAGGAAGCUAGAAGAAGCU
Spinacia oleracea (spinach) is the source of this 1167-nucleotide long non-coding RNA. RefSeq lists it as uncharacterized. The record is from RefSeq and is a predicted model, not a curated record. The transcript has 5 exons. Lineage: Eukaryota; Viridiplantae; Streptophyta; Magnoliopsida; Caryophyllales; Amaranthaceae.